UACGUAGGGGGCAAGCGUUAUCCGGAUUUACUGGGUGUAAAGGGGGCGCAGACGGCGAUGCAAGCCAGGAGUGAAAGCCCGGGGCCCAACCCCGGGACUGCCCUUGGAACUGCAUGGCUGGAGUGCGGGAGGGGCAGGCGGAAUUCCUGGUGUAGCGGUGAAAUGCGUAGAUAUCAGGAGGAACACCGGCGGCGAAGGCGGCCUGCUGGACUGCGACUGACGUUGAGGCUCGAAAGCGUGGGGAGCGAACAGG
Molecule: ribosomal RNA, 253 nt
Filed under: uncultured bacterium
Lineage: Bacteria
Description: partial 16S ribosomal RNA
Rfam family: Bacterial small subunit ribosomal RNA
Source: RNAcentral